AUGAGAUUGAGAGUGAGGUUUUCAGUAGUCGGCGGUGGGGAGCUGCUCGUGGGGCCGCUGGCCGAUGAAGCAGAUGUCGUAGACGAGGGCGGCGAUGGCGGCGCCGGCGAAGGGGCCGAGCCAGUACACCCAGUGGUUCUCCCAGACGCCGGUGACGACAGCGGGGCCGAAGGAGACGGCGGGGUUCAUGGAGGCGCCGUCGAAGGCGCCGCCGGCGAGGAUGUUGGCGCCGACGAUGAAGCCGAUGGCGAUGGGCGCGAUGACCCCGAGGUCGCCGCGCUUGGGGUCGACCGCCGUGGCGUACACCGUGUAGACGAGCCCGAAGGUCAUGACGAUCUCGAAGACCACGGCGUUCCAGACGCCGACGCCGGCGGAGAGCGAGAAGGCGCCCACGGCCUCGCCGCCGGUGGCGAUCUUGAGGAGGAGGCAGGCCACGACGGAGCCGAGCAGCUGCGCCACCCAGUACACCACCGCCUUGAGCAGGCUGAUGUUGCCGCCCACGAAGGCGCCGAAUGUGACGGCCGGGUUCACGUGCCCGCCCGAGAUGUUGGCGCCCACGGACACGGCCACGAAGAGCGCGAACGUGUCCGGGUGGGACAGCUCCCCCGGGGCGCCGAUGGCGAUCCUGCUCACCGGCAUUUUCGACGGGCACUCUUUUUUUUUCUGGAUGGAUGGAUCGGCUCGUGUCCUGUGCAGCUAGCUAGUGUUGAAUUGUGUGGUGUGGUGUGGUGA
This 732-nucleotide ribosomal RNA is filed under the name Triticum aestivum (bread wheat). RNAcentral describes it as "partial small subunit ribosomal RNA". The record is from RNAcentral. Lineage: Eukaryota; Viridiplantae; Streptophyta; Magnoliopsida; Poales; Poaceae.